GACUAAGGCAAUGGGCGUGGCCAACCGAAGGAGGCAGAGAACACUGAGAACCAGAAAUUAGUACUGAAACUGGAGAGCACCCCGAAUGGAAACAGCAGCCACCAUCCUCCACAGGGCCUGCCGGGACCACCCUGCAGGGUGGUGGCCUGGGAGAGGACCCCAUGCCACAGCCAGGGCCCAUGUGAGAUGGUGUAUAGAGGGACUGUGCUUUGGGGCUGCCAUCACUGCAGAUACCUGAGGGGAAGGUGCCAGCUCUUCUGUCUCCACCCCAGAAUCUGCUGUGCAACAAAGGCAGAGGACUCUAGGGUGGCCUGAUCCAGCCAGGGCUGUAGGGUGAAGCCCACCUGCCUCCAGCUGCACAGUUGGCCACAGAACAUCUGGGAUACCUGGCCAAGCCUGGGAGGCAGCUCUCACCAAUACCCUCCACGUGCCCUGUAGAAUUUCCACCGUGUUCACUGAGAGCACUCUCCAUCAGCAAAAAGGAUCCAUGGUGCUGCUCAUUCUGGCCACUGGUCCCCACUCCUUACGAAGGCAUCUCCCUCAGAACAUGGUCACCAAGGGCCCGAGGGUGUGUCCUCACAGAACAUUCUGCACAGCAAGACUAGCAGGUUGCUAAAGCUGGAAGCUCCUUGAAGCUUUUCCAGCGGCCCCUUUGGAGGAAAUUUAGAGUCGCUGAUCAAUUUCAGUUACUUCGCAAUACAAAACUUCAAGCUUGCUGCCUUGUUAACAACAAUCGUCAACAUUUGUGUGUCUCUUCAUGGCAUACACAUGCACUCUCACAUCUAUUAUUUCAUCUGUUUUCACAAUCCAUCUCGAGGAUGAGGAAACUGAGGCAGGGAGGGGCCUAGGCUUGAACCGUGGUCCUCUGAGUCUUAGUCUGACUCCCACCUCUGGACCCAACUGCUUCUCAUCCUGUGUGGCAUGAAGUGUCACUGAUUUCUAGAUUGUAACAUUGUAAAGUCGCUUUUAGAUCCCUGCAACAAUAUUGUAUUACCAAUGUGAAGGAAAUGGCACAUUUUGAUUGCUGUAAUUCUUACGUUUUAAAUAAUCAACACAAAAAUGUUUUCAAUUCUUCUUGACAUAAAAUCUCCCCAUAUCUUUUGACUCUUCCAUCAAACAACUGUU
This 1125-nucleotide long non-coding RNA is filed under the name Pan troglodytes (chimpanzee). RNAcentral's name for it is "long non-coding RNA NONPTRT001952". The record is from RNAcentral. Lineage: Eukaryota; Metazoa; Chordata; Mammalia; Primates; Hominidae.